CGGUAUGGUCCAUUUUGAAGGAGAGAGAGAGGGAGGGAGGAGGGACGGGGUUUGGUGAUGUCAGCACAACAUGGUGGACGACGAUGCGGUAGAAUGUGCGGCGGACGGGCGGUGGGUGGAGCCUCCGGUCG
Molecule: long non-coding RNA, 131 nt
Organism: Sphaeramia orbicularis (orbiculate cardinalfish)
Lineage: Eukaryota; Metazoa; Chordata; Actinopteri; Kurtiformes; Apogonidae
Exons: 3
Source: RefSeq, a predicted model, not a curated record